UAACUGCGUGCAGACGUGUGAACUGCAGGACACAUGAACACUGACGUUUCGAACGCAAUUUUUUUUUAAAAUCAAGUAGCCUGUUUGAUACACAAGUUUCAUUGCUGGGUUAAAAUUUACCUCAGUUAGAAUUCUGGUAGCGCUGAACAAGAAAGCUAACUUGAUGUUAUAAUAAAAUGUUAAAAGCGAUGAAUGUUUCCGCUAUUCAAAAUUUAUACAAUAAAACAAAUCAAACAUACGACCUCAGAGUAGGCGAGAUUACCCGCUAAAUUUAA
This 275-nucleotide unclassified non-coding RNA is filed under the name uncultured fungus. Its description in RNAcentral is "sequence contains ITS1". Lineage: Eukaryota; Fungi. The record is from RNAcentral.